AUGGGGCUAUUUAAUUUUAAUCGGAUGUAUAUCCCAGAUUUUUCUGAUUUGGCUAAACCUCUAACAGAGGCUCUUAAAGGAGGCCUUCUGGGUGCUUCCCCUUUGGAGUGGACAGCGGACAUGGCUGAGUCCUUUACUCUCCUCAAAUCCGCAUUAGCCUCCUCUUCUGCAUUACAUCACCCCGGCAUGACAAAGGCAUUCCAUGUAUGGACACAUGUUGGCCCAAGUGCUUAUAACUGUGUGCUGGGACAAUGUAAAGGUGACAAAAGUUAUGGCAUUGUUGGGUAUUAUUCAACUUUGAUUCCCUCUUCCAUGAAUGGACAGAUGAAUGGACAGAUGCCAUGUUUGAUGGCCUUGGACUGUGCUGAGUGGGCGUUGAAGGUCACUGAGGCCAUCGUCUGUUACAAUCAGAUGAUCCUUCACUCUCCACUUAGUUUUCUACGCAUGCUCUCAGAGACAAAAAUAAAGUCGAUUUCAAAUCAGCAACGUGCAAAAUGGGAAACUGCUCUCAUGAACCCUCAGCUCACUGUUAUUGCAGACAACCGGACAAAUUCUGCCUCCCUAAUGGAGAAUGAGGGGAGUGCACAUGACUGCGCCGAGGUAAUUAUCUGUGACAGGGGACAUUUUGUCAGAGAUGAACCGUUUUCAGACUCUCUGGACAUGUUCGUGGAUGGCAGAGAUUAUCCCUCUGUUGUAGGGCUGCACAAUUAAUCAAAUUUCUAAUCACGAUUACAAUUAUGGAUGCCACAAUUACAUAAUCGUUCAAAGUGGCAAUUAAUCAUUCAAAGUCCACUUAUGUUAUUCGGCGUGUUUAAGAUGCUUUUUUUUCUUUCUAUGCGUUAUCUUAAGUGUUUUUCCCAUUAUUUUAAUUUAUUUUUAUCAUAACAUUAUAAUACCAUUAAUAUUUUUACUUUUUUAUAAUUUAAAGAAGAAACCAAUCCAAUGUAUAGUUGAUAUUUGAGGCUUAAUACUAUGGAAAAGCACAAAAAGUUUUUCAGCUUGUUUAUUUUCAUAUAAAAAUAUGGCAUGCAGUUGCAUCAAACAAUGGUAUAAACAUCAUUCAAUGUAAAUUGUGAUAAUCGUAAUUAAUAAUUGCAAUUGCAAUUUCAAGGGAAUAAUAAACAAUUAUGAUUUUUUCAUAAUUGUGCAGCCCUACUCUGUUGUAUGCCCAUCCGUACAGACCUAUUGUCUCAAGCGAAUGGGGAGUAGGGCUGGGCGAUAUAUCGCAUGCGAUUGUCACGCGCAUUUUGUCAGUAAAGCCGGUUUCCUGGUUAGCGCUAAAUCUCCAUCACCUGCUUUCAAAUGGAGCGGUAUUUAAUAGACAGAGCCGUAGAUCACUGACAAGCUACGCAAUAUCGCGUUCAUUAUCGCACAUGAAUCGCCUUCGAUAAUGAACGCGAUAUUGCGUAGCUUGUCAGUGAUCUACGGCUCUGUCUAUUAAAUGCCGCUCCAUUUGAAAGCAGGUGAUGGAGAUUUAGCGCUAAUCAGGAAACCGGCUUUACUGACGAAAUGCGCGUGACAAUCGCAUGCGAUAUAUCGCCCAGCCCUAAUGGGGGGAUUUAUCAUCCACACCCAGACAGGGUGGCUCCCUGGGCCUGGCCCCUGAGAGGACAAACUUAAAUGCAUUAGGGCUUCUCCCACAUGUGGUUGCUACUAUACAGAAUGCCAGAGCCGUUUCUACACAGUCCUUAUGUGGUUGUAAGUGGCAAGUGUUUGAAGGGUGGUGCGAUGGGCAUGGUCUCACAUCAUUUCAGUGCUCGGUUCCUGAUAUUUUGUGUUUCUUACAAGACCUGUUUUAUAC
Cyprinus carpio carpio is the source of this 1801-nucleotide long non-coding RNA. Lineage: Eukaryota; Metazoa; Chordata; Actinopteri; Cypriniformes; Cyprinidae. The record is from Ensembl.